Molecule: long non-coding RNA, 109 nt
Organism: Sander lucioperca (pikeperch)
Lineage: Eukaryota; Metazoa; Chordata; Actinopteri; Perciformes; Percidae
Exons: 3
Source: RefSeq, a predicted model, not a curated record
AUCUCCUGAGGUUCAAGGGUCGGACACAAAUCUAACCAGCAUGCAUUAGGCGCCGAUCGCCAGUGAUCGAUUCUGUGCAGGCCUGGCUCAUCUUGAACAGGCCUAUUCU